This 415-nucleotide unclassified non-coding RNA is filed under the name Hevea brasiliensis (rubber tree). Lineage: Eukaryota; Viridiplantae; Streptophyta; Magnoliopsida; Malpighiales; Euphorbiaceae. The record is from RNAcentral.
GUCAAUACAUGUUUCUCUACCAAGAAUUAUUGGCUCAUAAAUGUACAUAGCAAUGAAAUCAUUAAACAAUGAUAAGUCCCCUUGUUUGGAUAUAAAUGACUUUGGUGUUUGAAUUUCAAAAAAAUUGUCAUUGCUCAUAUCAAAUCCAAAGAUUUUAUCAUUUUGACAUGCCCUCCAAUAGUAAAAUCCAUUCAAAUAUGUGUUACCAUUUGAUUUGGCCACGUUGCGACUAGAAAAAUCCCUGAAUUCCUCAAAAGUUCUCCAGGAAUUCGUACUCAACGUAUAGACUGAAAUAAUCGUAGGAGAAUGCCAGUCUUCAGAGUCUACAUCCCAGUAAUCUCUCAUCCAAACGACUUUAUAAUCACCACUCGAGGGCUCGAUCCCGAAACCAAAUUUAUAGGAGGACAACUUAUAU